This 439-nucleotide ribosomal RNA is filed under the name uncultured bacterium. Its description in RNAcentral is "partial 16S ribosomal RNA". It matches the Rfam family "Bacterial small subunit ribosomal RNA", at positions 338 to 795 of the family's 1533-position model. The record is from RNAcentral.
CCUACGGGAGGCAGCAGUGGGGAAUAUUGCACAAUGGGGGGAACCCUGAUGCAGCAACGCCGCGUGGGUGAAGAAGUACUCCGGUAUGUAAAGCCCUGUCAGCCGGGAAGAAAAUGCCGGUACCUGACCAAGAAGCCCCGGCUAACUACGUGCCAGCAGCCGCGGUAAUACGGAGGAUGCGAGCGUUAUCCGGAUUUAUUGGGUUUAAAGGGUGCGUAGGCGGAUCGUUAAGUCAGUGGUAAAAUUGAGGGGCUCAACCCCUUCCCGCCAUUGAAACUGGCGUUCUUGAGUGGAAGAGAAGUAUGCGGAAUGCGUGGUGUAGCGGUGAAAUGCAUAGAUAUCACGCAGAACCCCGAUUGCGAAGGCAGCAUGCCGGCUUCCGACUGACGCUGAAGCACGAAAGCGUGGGGAUCGAACAGGAUUAGAUACCCCUGUAGUC